UGCCAGCCGCCGCGGUAAUACGGAGGGUGCAAGCGUUGCUCGGAAUCACUGGGCGUAAAGCGGACGCAGGCGGAUCAGCAAGUCAGGCGUGAAAGCCCGGGGCUCAACCCCGGAACUGCGCUUGAAACUGCUGGCCUGGAAUACGGGAGAGGGGAGCGGAAUUCCUGGUGUAGAGGUGAAAUUCGUAGAUAUCAGGAGGAACACCGGUGGCGAAAGCGGCUCCCUGGCCCGAUAUUGACGCUCAUGUCCGAAAGCGUGGGUAGCAAACAGGAUUAGAUA
RNAcentral lists this ribosomal RNA (279 nucleotides) under uncultured bacterium. Its description in RNAcentral is "partial 16S ribosomal RNA". It matches the Rfam family "Bacterial small subunit ribosomal RNA", at positions 506 to 784 of the family's 1533-position model. The record is from RNAcentral.